AUUUGUUUAACCCAACAGCUGGGUUGAGCCUGUUGGGUCAUUUUGUUGGGUUAUUUUCUCAGUGUUGGGUCAUUUUUUGAGUAACCCAAACGCUGGGUUACCAGUCUGGUCCAAUUGAGUGACAGUUGAGAGAGUAAACCCCUCCCACUCCUCUACGCAUCAGACAAACUUUACCUUCGCGGGCAUUUUGAUCCACUUCAUCUCGGAAAGUUGUUAUUCGGAGAAUAAAAGGUUGCAGAAUAACAGCUAAUAUUAAUGGAUCAUUCUAUUCAAGAGAAUGUCAACUGGAACUUGGAUGUUUUCAUAACAGGCUUAAAGAUGAACAAAUUGAUAAAGAAACCCUCCUGCUGGACAUCCACUUCCAAAAGUGCACGCCACACUGUUGUCUACAACUCCCAGGAAAAGAAUCCUCUUCAGUAAGACUGCUCCGUGGAUAUGUCAGGUUAAGCAGUGCUGAAACCGAAAGAACUAACACUAUUUAAAAUGUUUUGUGAGUUUAUAUGAAGAGGAAAGUUACGGUGUCCCUUUUUCACAUCCAUAACGCUUGUUUAUUUCUUUUUUUAUAGAAAACUUGUGCAUAUAUUUUAACAUAUAAAUGCGGUUCUAUUAACAAGGGUUUAGUAAAAUACUUUUUAUAGUGUUUUGAAGUGUUAAGUUGUCUAACUAUUUAUAUUUACUUGUGCCACUUUAAUAACCUUGUUAAAUGUAUAUGUUAAAAUCUAAACUAAUGUAAUUUAUUGAAAUUAAUUUUCUUUAAAUAUGUAUAAACAUACAUUUCAUCAA
Long non-coding RNA from Triplophysa dalaica, 783 nucleotides. RefSeq lists it as uncharacterized. NCBI's taxonomy places the organism in Eukaryota, Metazoa, Chordata, Actinopteri, Cypriniformes, Nemacheilidae. The transcript is spliced from 3 exons. The record is from RefSeq and is a predicted model, not a curated record.